UGGAUGAGGCACGCAAGUCGAAUGGGUUUAGACCCAUGGCAGACGAGGUAGGAACACGUAGGUACGUACCGGAGAGUCAGGGAUAACCCGGCGAAAGUCGGAAUAAUACUUGAUAGUCCCGCAAGGGUAAAGAUUUAUCGCUCUCUGAACGGCCUGCGUUCUAUCAGCUUGUUGGUAAGGUAACGGCUUACCAAGGCUACGACGGAUAGGGGAGGUGAGAGCCUGACCCCCACCGAUGGAACUGCGACACGGUCCAUACUCCUACGGGAGGCCGCAGUCGAGAAUCUUCCGCAAUGGACGAAAGUCUGACGGAGCGACGCCGCGUGGUGGAUGAAGUCCUUAGGGACGUAAACACCUUUUAUGAGGGAGGAAGUUUAUUGACGUUACCUCAUGAAUAAGGGGCUCCCAAUUCUGUGCCAGCAGGAGCGGUAAUACAGAAGCCCCGAGCAUUACCCGGAUUCACUGGGCGUAAAGGGUGCGUAGGCGGUUAUAUUAGUCGGGUGUUAAAUCCUGGGGCUCAACCUCAGGCUCGCAUUCGAAACGGUAUAACUAGAAGAUGUGAGAGGUAAACAGAACUCAAGGUGUAGGGGUGAAAUCCGUUGAUAUCUUGGGGAAUACCAAAUGCGAAGGCAGUUUACUGGCACAUUCUUGACGCUGAGGCACGAAAGCGUGGGUAGCGAACGGGAUUAGAUACCCCGGUAGUCCACGCCCUAAACGCUGUCUGCUAGCUAUGGGGAGUAUCGACCCUCUCCGUGGCGUAGGUAACCCGUUAAGCAGACCGCCUGGGUAGUACGAGCGCAAGCUUAAAACUCAAAGGAAUAGACGGGGGCUCGCACAAGCGGUGGAGCGCGUGGCUUAAUUCGUCGCUAAGCGAAGAACCUUACCGAGGCUAGAUAUCCUACUGCACGCUUAGGGAAACCUAAGAAGCCUUCGAGGGUGUAGGACAGGUGAUGCAUGGCCGUCGUCAGUUCGUGGCUUGAGCUGUUCCCUUAAGUGGGGAAACGAACGCAACCCUCGUUG
Molecule: ribosomal RNA, 1020 nt
Filed under: uncultured bacterium
Lineage: Bacteria
Description: bacterial SSU rRNA
Rfam family: Bacterial small subunit ribosomal RNA
Source: RNAcentral